AGAUUGAACGCUGGCGGCAUGCUUUACACAUGCAAGUCGAACGGUAACAGGCCGCAAGGUGCUGACGAGUGGCGAACGGGUGAGUAAUGCAUCGGAACGUGCCCAGUCGUGGGGGAUAACGCAGCGAAAGCUGUGCUAAUACCGCAUACGAUCUAUGGAUGAAAGCGGGGGACCGAAAGGCCUCGCGCGAUUGGAGCGGCCGAUGUCAGAUUAGCUAGUUGGUGGGGUAAAGGCCCACCAAGGCGACGAUCUGUAGCUGGUCUGAGAGGACGACCAGCCACACUGGAACUGAGACACGGUCCAGACUCCUACGGGAGCAGC
This 321-nucleotide ribosomal RNA is filed under the name uncultured soil bacterium. RNAcentral's name for it is "bacterial SSU rRNA". It matches the Rfam family "Bacterial small subunit ribosomal RNA", at positions 26 to 352 of the family's 1533-position model. The record is from RNAcentral.